AGAGUUUGAUCCUGGCUCAGAACGAACGCUGGCGGCGUGGAUUAGGCAUGCAAGUCGAACGAUCUGCUGUAAUGCAGAUAGUGGCAAAAGGGUGAGUAACGCGUGGGUAAUUUACCUUUAGGUUCGGAAUAACUUGCCGAAAGGCGAGCUAAUACUGGAUAAGACCACAACUAGAUAUUUCUAGAUGAGGUUAAAACUAGGGACCCCAACAGGGCCUGGUGCCUUUAGAUGAGCCCGCGUCCUAUCAGCUAGUUGGUAGGGUAAUGGCCUACCAAGGCGAUUGACGGGUAGCUGGUCUAAGAGGAUGGUCAGCCACACUGGGACUGAGACACUGCCCAGACUCCUACGGGAGGCUGCAGUCGAGAAUCUUUUGCAAUGCGCGAAAGCGUGACAAUGCGACGCCGCGUGAGCGAUGAAGAUCUUCGGAUUGUAAAGCUCUGUCAGCCCGGAUGAAAGUUUUUGACCUAAUAUGUCAAAAAUUUGACGGUACGGGCAGAGGAAGCCACGGCUAACUCCGUGCCAGCAGCCGCGGUAAUACGGAGGUGGCAAGCGUUGUUCGGAUUUAUUGGGUGUAAAGGGUAUGUAGGUGUCCUGUUAAGUUCUUCUUGAAAUACUUUGGCUCAACCAAAGAUACGGGGAGGAAACUGACAGGAUUGAGUACAGGAGAGGAAAGCGGAAUUCCCGGUGUAAGGUGAAAUCUGUAGAUAUCGGGAGGAACACCAGUGGCGAAAGCGGCUUUCUGGCCUGAUACUGACACUGAAAUACGAAAGCAAGGGGAGCAAACAGGAUUAGAUACCUGGUAGUCCUGCCGUAAACGAUGGGCACUAGGUGCAUUCCGUUUUACGGAGUGUGCCGCAGUUAACACAUUAAGUGCCCCACGUGGGGAGUACGACCGCAAGGUUGAAACUCAAAGGAAUUGACGGGGACCCGCACAAGCGGUGGAGCAUGUGGUUUAAUACGACGAUACGCGUGGAACCUUACCAGGGCUUGACAUGCUGGAAGUAGAAGCCUGAAAGGGUGACGACCCGUUAAGUCGGGAGCCAGCACAGGUGUUGCAUGGCUGUCGUCAGCACGUGUCGUGAGAUGUUGGGUUAAGUCCCGCAACGAGCGCAACCAUUGUUUCUAGUUGCUAACCUCGAUUAUUCGUGGUGCACUCUAGAGAAACUGCCAGUGUUUAACUGGAGGAAGGUGGUGACGACGUCAAGUCAGUACGGCCCUUACGCCCUGGGCUACACACGUGCUACAAUGGCCGGUACAAAGGGAAGCAAUGCCGUAAGGCAGAGCAUAUCUCAAAAAGCCGGUCCCAGUUCGGACUGAAGGCUGCAAUUCGCCUUCAUGAAGUUGGAAUCGCUAGUAACCGCGGAUCAGCUACGCUGCGGUGAAUACGUUCCCGGGUCUUGUACACACCGCCCGUCAAGUCACCUGAGUCGAGUGCACCCGAAGUCGCUGUUCUAACCUGCAAGGGAAGAAGGCCUCGAAGGUGUGCUUGGUGAGGAGGACUAAGUCGUAACAAGGUAACC
Molecule: ribosomal RNA, 1520 nt
Filed under: uncultured bacterium
Lineage: Bacteria
Description: bacterial SSU rRNA
Rfam family: Bacterial small subunit ribosomal RNA
Source: RNAcentral